GAUUCGUCACACUAUCAUUAACUGAAUCCAUAGGUUAAUGAGGCGAACCGGGGGAACUGAAACAUCUAAGUACCCCGAGGAAAAGAAAUCAACCGAGAUUCCCCCAGUAGCGGCGAGCGAACGGGGAGGAGCCCAGAGCCUGAAUCAGCAUGUGUGUUAGUGGAAGCGUCUGGAAAGGCGCGCGAUACAGGGUGACAGCCCCGUACACAAAAGCGCAUGUGCUGUGAGCUCGAUGAGUAGGGCGGGACACGUGGUAUCCUGUCUGAAUAUGGGGGGACCAUCCUCCAAGGCUAAAUACUCCUGACUGACCGAUAGUGAACCAGUACCGUGAGGGAAAGGCGAAAAG
Molecule: ribosomal RNA, 346 nt
Filed under: Salmonella enterica subsp. enterica serovar Typhimurium
Lineage: Bacteria; Pseudomonadati; Pseudomonadota; Gammaproteobacteria; Enterobacterales; Enterobacteriaceae
Description: partial 23S ribosomal RNA
Rfam family: Bacterial large subunit ribosomal RNA
Source: RNAcentral